RNAcentral lists this ribosomal RNA (496 nucleotides) under uncultured bacterium. RNAcentral describes it as "partial 16S ribosomal RNA". It matches the Rfam family "Bacterial small subunit ribosomal RNA", at positions 28 to 506 of the family's 1533-position model. The record is from RNAcentral.
GAUGAACGCUGGCGGCGUGCCUAAUACAUGCCAGUCGAGCGAACAGACGAGGAGCUUGCUCCUCUGACGUUAGCGGCGGACGGGUGAGUAACACGUGGAUAACCUACCUAUAAGACUGGGAUAACUUCGGGAAACCGGAGCUAAUACCGGAUAAUAUAUUGAACCGCAUGGUUCAAUAGUGAAAGACGGUUUUGCUGUCACUUAUAGAUGGAUCCGCGCCGCAUUAGCUAGUUGGUAAGGUAACGGCUUACCAAGGCGACGAUGCGUAGCCGACCUGAGAGGGGGAUCGGCCACCCUGGAACUGAGACACGGUCCAAACUCCCACGGGGGGCAGCAGUAGGGAAUCUUCCGCAAUGGGCGAAAGCCUGACGGAGCAACGCCGCGGGAGUGAUGAAGGUUUUCGGAUCGUAAAACUCUUUUAUUAGGGAAAAAAAAAUGUGUAAGUAACUAUGCCCGUCUUGACGGGACCAAAGCAGAAAGCCACGGCUAACUACGU